GCUGGUCAUGGAGAUAAUCUUUUAGCAACGGACUUCAAACAUUUAGGUAGUGGUUCAGGAUUGGGACUGGUGAGACCAGCCACGAUGAAGAUUUAAAAUUUCUGAUUAAUUGUUUAAACAGGAUGCUAUUGUGAAGAUAGAAUGGUUCUCCAGGUCCUGACUCUGUUUCAAUUGAGCAUCCAUCAACAUUCAAAGUUUGUUGCAGCUGUAAUUGCUUUGUUAUUAGUUUUGUUUCUUGUAAUGUAGCCGCAGUAAUGCGAGUUGAUAAUGGAUAUGUAAUGUACGGAUAUUUAAUGUGCAUACAUAAUUUCUUUAUACAACUGUAAUACAUGGGUNCCUCAAUUCCCUUCCCUUCCCUUCCCUUCGCUUCGCGAUGCAAAUGGAUUCCCUCCCUAACGGCAGCUUCGCCGUCUCCGCCUCAGCCGCCACCAACCCAAUUAACCCG
RNAcentral lists this unclassified non-coding RNA (445 nucleotides) under Hevea brasiliensis (rubber tree). Lineage: Eukaryota; Viridiplantae; Streptophyta; Magnoliopsida; Malpighiales; Euphorbiaceae. The record is from RNAcentral.